RNAcentral lists this ribosomal RNA (253 nucleotides) under uncultured bacterium. RNAcentral's name for it is "partial 16S ribosomal RNA". It matches the Rfam family "Bacterial small subunit ribosomal RNA", at positions 524 to 776 of the family's 1533-position model. The record is from RNAcentral.
UACGGAGGAUGCAAGCGUUAUCCGGAAUGAUUGGGCGUAAAGCGUCCGCAGGUGGCAAUGUAAGUCUGCUGGUAAAGAGUCUAGCUCAACUAGAUAAAAGCAGUGGAAACUACAUAGCUAGAGUACGUUCGGGGCAGAGGGAAUUCCUGGUGUAGCGGUGAAAUGCGUAGAGAUCAGGAAGAACACCGGUGGCGAAGGCGCUCUGCUAGGCCGUAACUGACACUGAGGGACGAAAGCUAGGGGAGCGAAUGGG